UACGUAGGGUGCGAGCGUUAAUCGGAAUUACUGGGCGUAAAGCGUGCGCAGGCGGUUUUACAAGCUGGAUGUGAAAGCCCCGGGCUCAACCUGGGAGGUGCAUUCAGGACUGUGAAGCUCGAGUGCGGCAGAGGGAGGUGGAAUUCCAGGUGUAGCAGUGAAAUGCGUAGAGAUCUGGAGGAACACCGAUGGCGAAGGCAGCCUCCUGGGCC
RNAcentral lists this ribosomal RNA (212 nucleotides) under uncultured prokaryote. Its description in RNAcentral is "partial 16S ribosomal RNA". It matches the Rfam family "Bacterial small subunit ribosomal RNA", at positions 524 to 735 of the family's 1533-position model. The record is from RNAcentral.